This 459-nucleotide ribosomal RNA is filed under the name uncultured bacterium. RNAcentral describes it as "partial 16S ribosomal RNA". It matches the Rfam family "Bacterial small subunit ribosomal RNA", at positions 338 to 795 of the family's 1533-position model. The record is from RNAcentral.
CCUACGGGGGGCAGCAGUGGGGAAUAUUGGUCAAUGGCCGGAAGGCUGAACCAGCCAAGUCGCGUGAGGGACGACUGCCCUAUGGGUUGUAAACCUCUUUUAUAAGGGAAGAAUAAAUGCUACGUGUAGCAUGAUGCCUGUACCUUAUGAAUAAGCAUCGGCUAACUCCGUGCCAGCAGCCGCGGUAAUACGGAGGAUGCGAGCGUUAUCCGGAUUUAUUGGGUUUAAAGGGUGCGUAGGCGGAUUUUUAAGUCAGCGGUAAAAUGUCCGGGCUCAACCCGGGCCGGCCGUUGAAACUGGGGAUCUUGAGUGGGCGAGAAGUAUGCGGAAUGCGUGGUGUAGCGGUGAAAUGCAUAGAUAUCACGCAGAACUCCGAUUGCGAAGGCAGCAUACCGGCGCCCGACUGACGCUGAGGCACGAAAGCGUGGGGAUCGAACAGGAUUAGAUACCCGGGUAGUC